GAUAGCAGUUCAUUUAUCAGUUUUUCAAAUCUUAUUUAUAACUAAAUAAAAGAAAAAUGUUUAUAUGAUUGAAAUUGAACUUACCACUUUUGGACAGUAGUACUUAAAAAUCAUAAAAAAACAAGAACUAUUUAUAAUUGUAAGUGUUAUCAUUGUAUUUGUUGGCUGUCAAUUAUAGAAGACCAACUUCAAAACCAUUUUGAUUUGAAACUGCUAAUUUUUCCCAGGAGAGUGAAUGCUGAGCUAUUUUCAAAAAAAAUGUCUUCAUUAUUUAUAUCACAUUUCGCGUCAAUUUUAUCACAAACCAAUUUUUUAAAUUUUUUUUAUCUUAUCUAGUUUCCAAGAAAUUCCAAUUCUGUCAAAUUGCAGUUUUCGCUCAUAUAUUCUCAUUCAUUUUUUCGAUUAUAUUUUUCUUGUAUAAGUUUUGUAUUUGAACUUAUUUGUGCUUUCAAACUAAAGCAGAAACAGGUUACUCUACAUUGCAACAGCUGGGUUUGCAAAAUUCGCUGAGAAUGAAGAGACAUAAUCGGCCGAUUCUUGAAAACGAUGAUAUUCAAGAUGCUCGUGAUGAUCCAGGCAUUAAAAAUAACAAGUUAAUGCGAGCUGAAAGCAAUCAAUUCUCAGGAACUCAAAAUUCCAAUCAAGCAUUUCAUAGUGAAAAACCAUAUAGAGAAAAUAAUGUUAAAGUUCAUCCGACUUCAGACGACAAAACAGAAAGUGAAAAUUAUCGAACGAUAAAUUUCAAACAUAACGGAACAACCUCUAAAAAUCAAACUACUUCGGAACCAGAUUUCAAAAGAGAGCUGGAGAAUUUUUACCAAGAGCUCGACGAAAUCAAUAUUGAGUGCGCCGGCAAUUUUCAAGUCAAGUUUAACCAUAAUAAAUCUUUGAAGUGUUUCCUCGAAUGCCUGUAUCCCGAUUGGAAAAAACCAGGAAAGGUAACAUCAAUACCCUGCGCAAGGAUACCUAAAGUGUUUGUACGGAAAGAUUAUUCAAGCAAAUGCCUUCAAAAACAUUUCAACUCACAGCGAAAAGGUGAUGAUGGUGAAGGGAAAAUUUACCGAUUUUUUCUAAAGGAAGUCGCAACGGACGAUGGAGGUAUAAUUGUUCUCCCUAACGUUAAUGGGAAUCAUAUUUUCAAACAAGGUGGUUUGGGUUCAGUCGAAAUAGAUAUGAUUGUAGCUCACCCUUGGAAAGGAAUUUUCGUUUUCAAUGUCAAGAACGAAAGCGGAUUCCGAUUUGGAAAAAAUAAACAAAAUGACGAAAACGACUGGAUUGAAAAACUCCAAUCAGAAAUGUUGAAGCAUACCAAUUUUAUACGAUAUCUUUUGGACUACAGCAAACUUUCGGAUCAAUCAACAACCUUGUCAUCAAGGGGAGAAAGUGAGGUUACUGAAACGGAUACAGUUCGAAUUCAUGCAGUUUUUUGCUAUAUUCCUGACGAUUUAAGCUCACUAACAAAACUUGCAGAUAAUGACGCAAAUUGGUACAAUCAUGGUGUUGUUCAGAAAAGCGGCCUUGGUAAUGUUAUAGUGUUUCAAAAAUCGGAUUUAAAAAAAUUUGAGACAAAAUGGAAAGAAGAAUUAGAAAAAAUCUCAUCAAUGGAAAAUUCUGCGGCUUUCGACAUUUUGGUCGCUCGACUUGUUGCACUCAACUCACAGAACGGGGCCAGCGCUGUGAUUCACCAGAAAAUUGUGUCAAAUGAGUUGCAAUCCUUUAAUGUUCUCAACAAAAAUAGCGAAGUAAGAAAUAGACUUGAGCAACAACUUAGUGAAACUCUUCCACAAGAAGAAGACAAAGAGUGCAAAAAAAAAUUGAUAAAGUUUAUGAAGGAAAUUUCUACACCGCCCAUAAAUGGAAGAAGACGAUUUUUUUUCUGGACGAAAGAGCAGGUUAAUGUUAUAGCCACUGUCUUCAAAGGGCUGAUGAAAUCGACAAAUGAAGGAAUGCGGGUAAUGGUAAAAGGAGCUAAAGGCACAGGUAAAACGAUACUUAUGAUAUAUUUGGCUCGUUUAGCUGAGCUGGAAUUUAAGAAUCAGAAAAAUGGCGGCAGAGUUAUCAUUUGCAAUGGCGAUAGGGGCUCACCUGUUCUCCUGUUUUCACAACUAAGAUUGAAGUUGAAAAACACAGGAAUCGAAUUUGUCAUAGAUUACAGAAAAUUGCAUGAAACCUUGAACAAUAUAGCAGAAAAUUGCAUUGUUUUCUUCGAUGAGACUUAUUUCAAUGUGCACUCGAACUUUCUGGCACAGUUGAACAAAAGAGCUCAUUGCUGUGUUUUUUCUUCAGAGGGAAGAUAUAGCGCCAUAAAUUCCUUCAAAAGCUUAUAUUUGACACUUGCUCUAAGGUCCACCAGCAGCCUACAAAUAUUUUUCAAUAACUUGCUGAAAAACACUUUAUCGAUUCCGGAUAUGAAUGGAGCCAUUAGUCAUAGUCUGAUAGGAAGCAACAGUCCAGAUAUAAAAAUCUACCGAGCCAGCGAUGGUUGUGAUUUUAAGUACUUCUGGGAAAAAUGCGUCGAAACGGUUUGUAAAUACGCAACUGAAACAUCAACCAAAUUGUCAACGUCAAUUCCAACGAGAAAUCUUGUUUCAGAAAAAUCAGAAAUGGAUAAAUUAGAAAUUCUUGUGAUAUUUGACUUCUUGUCGCUCAAAAGCCAACUAAACAUUCUUUCCCAAUUGAAAGAGAAAAAUCUGAAUCUCUGCUCGGCGUCAUAUAAAAAUGUGUCCGGAAGGAAGAACCACGACCAAAAUUUACCCACUAUUAGACUGGAGCCUUCUACACUUGUAGGUGGCACUGAGUUCGGAUGUGUCAUAGUACUCCUAGAACGUUCAGUGAACAUCUCACCGUUGAAUUUCAUACGAAGAUUUUUCGUGUCUGCAACCCGGGCGACAACCAACUUGGCCGUUGUUGCUACCGACUUAGCAAGUACAAAAACUGCCCUGAGUAUAGAGGAAAUUGAGGCCCAUUUAUCCCAAUUCAAUGAACGUCACUAUCUAGUGAACAAAGACAGUCUGCCAUUAUAUUUAUCAAUUUUGCUGAAGAGUCUAAAGAAAUGUGAAUCCACCAUAGUUAUCAUUGGAACCAUACCAGAGAUGAAAUGCUUGAAAAAAAUGAAAUUAGCAGAGAUAAGUUUCGGUUCGUGUUCAGUUGAAGUUCAACACUGUUUAUUCGAUGGGGAUCAAAUGGUACUAAUUUUCUCUAAUUUCGCUCGCGCACUCUCUCUCCAAGCUCUUACGUGGUAUCAAAAUCGGAAAAUAUCAGCGGUGAUCAAAAUUAUUGGAAAUGAGUUUGAAAACCAGAUCAAUCAAUUAGCAGAAGGCGAAUGCUCGGCAAACCUACAGUGUUUCAACGGUUUGACAUAUAACAUUAGUUAUACUUCGAGGGACUUGAUUGACAUUACUGAAUUUUGCUGUUCCUUAAAAGAACAGAGAAAUGAUGUUUGCGAACAACGGUUAUCGGAUCCAAUGAUAAUAAAAUCAGAAAUUUCAAAUGAGUUAAAAUACUCGUGGGAAGACGUCGAGAAUUCAUUACAAGAGGUCAAACAUUUCACGAUUUUCGGGGUCGGCAUCAAAAAAUUCAAUUAUUACACUCUUUCUUUCAGUGUGCUGCUAGAAGAAUAUCGCCAGUGUAUCAAAUCAGGCUGUAAAGCGCCAGCUGUAAAAUUCAGAGCGGAAGCAGCAAAUUUCAUCCUUGUUUUGUUGAAGUCACUCACCGAAACCAUUUUCAACAUUUCAAAAAAGGACAAAUUUAACCGGCUUCUUUAUUUUAUGGGUAUUCAGUAUGCAAAAUAUUCGGUUUGGUUCAAUCCAAAUUUUUCGAAGGGUUAUCUUCAAAUCAUUCGAAUUUGCCAAGAUGUCUUAAAAACACUAAAGCAUGAAAAGGAUUGGCUCAUUACGGAAGCGAACAAGACCUCUAAAUGUACAUUCCUGAACGAUUUGAUCAAAAACAAUCGAUCUGAAACUACGAGUUUACAUGUUCAAACAAUACCACGAAUGGACACAAGUUACUAUAAUCAUUUUGAGUUUCUGCAACUCCUCCAAAGAGCAGCUGGCUUUAGAGAAAAGGGACAUAUAGAGUUUCUAUUCUUAUAUUGACUAAAAUAAAAGUGCAGGAGUUUUUUUUCUGGAAAAGUCUUACAAAUUGUUAGAAAAAGACUUACAAAAUGAAGAAAUCAAGUCGUGAUCAUGCAUGUACCAGAAAAAGACAAAAAAAAUUGACCUUGAAAAGCUGGGUUACCUCAUUUAGCCAUUAUUGAGCAAAAACACAUUUGGAAUUAAAAUUCUGGGGAAAAAUAGGGGAAAACGGAAAAGAGUCCCUUUUUGUGGCACGAGAUAGAGGCGUAAAACUCUUUGUUUAAAAAAUUACUAUAUCUCCCCGUUUAGUCUCAAAAGAACCCGGAUGACGAUAGCGCAUCACUUUUUUCUCUAAGUCAGUAUCAAAGCAUCCUAUCAAGUUUUAAUUCAAGAUUGGAUAUCACCAAUGCCCUGUUCAAGCAAUACAGAAACAGUCUGAAUACGGAAUCUUCGUGUAGUUUAGUAGCAAACAGACGGGAAAUUGGCAGAUCUUGUGCCGAAUCUGCGAGAUGGUGUUUAUCGCAAAUAGAUACACGUGGAUCAAGUGUUAUUUUCCUCGAUGUCGCAAAGUUUGUUUUUAAUGGCCUGCAUAUGGACCCAUUCAGUGGCGAAUGUUACGAUGUGCUUUUCGAAUUAUUGGAAGCGGAAAUAAAAAAAGCCUCGGAAAAGAAAGAAAAAUUGGAUCUAGCUGAACUUGCGGAGAAAGACAUAAAUGCAUCGCCUGUACUUGAGGAGUGGCUGCAAAAACUCUAUCCGGAAGGACCCCCUGUAGAUGAUCAAUAACUUUGUCGUAUUGAUCAAAAUUCCAUUAAAUGACGGUGGAAAUUAUAUCACGCGGGUCUGCAUUAUUA
Symsagittifera roscoffensis is the source of this 4924-nucleotide long non-coding RNA. RefSeq lists it as uncharacterized. The record is from RefSeq and is a predicted model, not a curated record. The transcript has 3 exons. NCBI's taxonomy places the organism in Eukaryota, Metazoa, Xenacoelomorpha, Acoela, Convolutidae.